GCCGCCGUAGCUCAGCUGGUAGAGCACCGGACUCAUAAUCCGGGGGUCGCGGGUUCGAAUCCCGCCGGCGGCA
RNAcentral lists this transfer RNA (73 nucleotides) under Desulfurococcaceae archaeon. Its description in RNAcentral is "tRNA-Met". It matches the Rfam family "tRNA". Rfam says of the family: Transfer RNA (tRNA) molecules are approximately 80 nucleotides in length. Their secondary structure includes four short double-helical elements and three loops (D, anti-codon, and T loops). Further hydrogen bonds mediate the characteristic L-shaped molecular structure. tRNAs have two regions of fundamental functional importance: the anti-codon, which is responsible for specific mRNA codon recognition, and the 3' end, to which the tRNAs corresponding amino acid is attached (by aminoacyl-tRNA synthetases). tRNAs cope with the degeneracy of the genetic code in two manners: having more than one tRNA (with a specific anti-codon) for a particular amino acid; and 'wobble' base-pairing, i.e. permitting non-standard base-pairing at the 3rd anti-codon position. The record is from RNAcentral. RNAcentral also lists the same sequence under 3 other names. Lineage: Archaea; Thermoproteati; Thermoproteota; Thermoprotei; Desulfurococcales; Desulfurococcaceae.